GUUAUGUGUCCCUUGGAAAAAUCUGUCUCACGUCUUUUUCCAGAUGUUUGCAAGGCACGUGGGGAGGAAUGCAAGCAGAACUCCAGCACCUGGAUAGGAUGGUGUCCUGAAUUUCCAGCCGCCAGUGGUUGCAACAGAGCUUGUCAAAAAGGACUGAGCAAAACCUAUUUUCAAGAAGAAAGGCUGCCAGCUUGUAGACUGGCAAAUACACUAGCCCUCAAAACUGAGCUGACAGUUAUACUUUUUAAUAAUUACACUUCUAGAAAAAGCUUUCUGCUAAUCUUAAUACCCAGUAACCAUUCAGAGACUUGUAAUCUCAUAAGCAAAUCAAAGAGUGAAAUGCGCCCUCACCAACUUGGCAGCUUAGAAUUUGAUGCUUGUUGUCUGUGUUCAAAGUGGCCUCUCUGCACGCCUGCUGCAGCUGUGCCUCCUGCACUGAACUCAUCUCUUGUCAGAGCUCCUGUUUGACCAGUUCUCGUGGUAGCUUCAUGGAUAGGCCUUGACAAAACAGCCUGCCAUUAACUUAUAAAUCAAAACAUCCUCUUCUUUUUUGUUUGGUGGAAAUGAGACGCAUUGGGAUGAAUAUAGGUGUGGGAAAAUGAUGUCAGAGAUGAUAAUCAGCCUUUGUUAUAAUGACAGUACUGGCACAUCUGGUUGCAUGUUGCAUGAGAAUCUGAAACAAUAUGGUAAUGUUAGUGUGUGGGAAGUAAGCUUAGAGAUUUCAGAUUGUUCAUUGCUGAAAAUGCUGUCUGAGAGGAGAACAUGACUACAUUUCAUGUUUACUUAGAAAAUCUCUUUUCCCUUGGGUUGUGUCCAUAAUUCAGCCCAUUAAUAAACAGGAACUUCCCAUGAAUCUAUUUUAUUUGGAAGCAGAACAGGUGUGAGGAUUUAGUCACCCAUUUAAAUUGUAUCAUCCAGUGUGCAAGCUGGAACAUAUAGUUACACAAAUACUUGCUGACAUUUCACAUAAAUAAGGUGAUCAAAGGCAAGACAAGUUCUCUCGGACUCUGAAAUUAGGCAAACCAUGUUUCCAGAAGACAUCCUGUUCUGCCAGCAGCCAUCUCCUAAGAGAUUUUACCACGCACGAGGUACAAUUCUCUAGGAAAAUGACUUGGAAGCCAAGGUCCCAGGAGCAGCAUGUUCAAUUAAGAUCAACCAGUUUAUUUCAAGCUCUGGCAUACUGCUAUUUCCUGCAUAUCAGAGGAACGGUUCUGCAGGAGGAAGUGCUGCAGGAGAUCACUUCACAACAGGGCAUCUGGAGGGGGCUGGGAGCUCUGGCCAGGUGGGAGGAUGGGGAGGCACCUGCUUUGUUGGGCUGAGGAGCUCUCAUACCAGCUCGGGAGGCAGCUGAUAGGGGAACUGUGACUUCUGUGCCUGGAGGAAGGCUGGGUGCAGCUCUGGUAGCUGGGGACAGAUACUCCAGACACCAGCACUAGAAUGUGGGAGCAUUGUCUUUGACUCCAUACUUGCUUCUCUAGGGCAGGAAAGGCUGCAUCCUGCCAUCUUUCUUUGUUUGAAUUCAAAUAACUCGUGUACAAGAGAGCUUGAGUGAGAAUCAGCUGGAAGGAAGGGACCCAGGACUUUGUAUUUUUUUACAGCCACGUGUCUUCCUUCUACACUAGCCAUUCUCAUUAUUUCAUUCUAUUCAUUUCUCUCAGAAGCUUUUGUUUUUGUUUGGUAAAAUCACGUUCUUCAAAGUGACUCCUAACUUUUCCUAACGUUGUAUUCAUUAUUUUCUUAUCAAUGCAAUUGGUAGGUUCUCCCAUGAUUUGACAGCAACGUUAAUAGAAAUUACGGUCCCCUUUUACAAGAAAUAGACCCUUUGUGACUGUUUCCUACCCCCUUCUGUGGUUUUUCAGAAAAAUUCUGUUUCUGAAGUCUUCAGGAAUGGUAUUAAAUACUACUGUUG
This is a long non-coding RNA of Gallus gallus (chicken), 1909 nucleotides long. The record is from Ensembl. Lineage: Eukaryota; Metazoa; Chordata; Aves; Galliformes; Phasianidae.